Molecule: ribosomal RNA, 243 nt
Filed under: uncultured bacterium
Lineage: Bacteria
Description: partial 16S ribosomal RNA
Rfam family: Bacterial small subunit ribosomal RNA
Source: RNAcentral
CGACCGGCGCACGGGUGAGUAACGCGUAUGCAACCUACCUAUCAGAGGGGAAUAACCCGGCGAAAGUCGGACUAAUACCGCAUAAAACAGGGGUUCCACAUGGAAAUAUUUGUUAAAGAAUUAUCGCUGAUAGAUGGGCAUGCGUUCCAUUAGAUAGUUGGUGAGGUAACGGCUCACCAAGUCCACGAUGGAUAGGGGUUCUGAGAGGAAGGUCCCCCACACUGGUACUGAGACACGGUCCAA